Non-coding RNA from Lonchura striata (white-rumped munia), 270 nucleotides. The record is from RefSeq and is a predicted model, not a curated record. Lineage: Eukaryota; Metazoa; Chordata; Aves; Passeriformes; Estrildidae.
AACAGAACCAACCUUUGAAUGGCUUGGGCAGCAGGCCUGCAGAGUAAGAGCCCUGCUCUUCCCAGUGCUGGCUCCCUUCUCCCUUCCACAGUACACUUUCUGGUUUCUCUAGUCUUCAAAGCCAAGAAUCCGGUCUAAAGAUGCCACAAAGCUUCAGCAUGCUUAAGGCAAGACAAUGCUGUGUUCUUCUUCAAUCUUUGUUGCUACACUUUGGAAUAAAAGUUUUGCCACAGUGUAUAAAAUAAAAGCAGUCUAAGAUGUUACCUAAAU